Molecule: transfer RNA, 82 nt
Filed under: Candidatus Pacearchaeota archaeon
Lineage: Archaea; Nanobdellati
Description: tRNA-Ser
Rfam family: tRNA
About the family: Transfer RNA (tRNA) molecules are approximately 80 nucleotides in length.
Source: RNAcentral
GCCGGGAUGGCCCAAUGGUAAGGCGCAAGGUUGCUAACCUUGUUUCCGCAAGGAUUUCUGGGUUCGAAUCCCAGUCCCGGCG